GUGAGGAAUAUUGGACAAUGGGCGCAAGCCUGAUCCAGCCAUGCCGCGUGCAGGAAGACGCAUCUAUGGUGUGUAAACUGCUUUUGUACGGGAAGAAACACUCCCUCGUGAGGGAGCUUGACGGUACCGUAAGAAUAAGGAUCGGCUAACUCCGUGCCAGCAGCCGCGGUAAUACGGAGGAUCCAAGCGUUAUCCGGAAUCAUUGGGUUUAAAGGGUCCGUAGGCGGUUUAAUAAGUCAGUGGUGAAAGCCCAUCGCUCAACGAUGGAACGGCCAUUGAUACUGUUAGACUUGAAUUACAAGGAAGUAACUAGAAUAUGUAGUGUAGCGGUGAAAUGCUUAGAUAUUACAUGGGAUACCAAUUGCGAAGGCAGGUUACUACUUGUGGAUUGACGCUGAUGGACGAAAGCGUGGGGAGCGAACAGGAUUAGAUACCCUGGUAGUCC
Molecule: ribosomal RNA, 445 nt
Filed under: uncultured bacterium
Lineage: Bacteria
Description: partial 16S ribosomal RNA
Rfam family: Bacterial small subunit ribosomal RNA
Source: RNAcentral